GACAGAGGUGCCAAGCGUUAGGCGGAAUCACUGGGCUUAAAGCGUGUGUAGGCGGAUCGUUAAGUACCUUGUGAAAUCCCCCGGCUCAACCGGGGAACUGCUGGGUAUACUGGCGAUCUUGAGCAAUCUAGGGGCAGAUGGAACAAGUGGUGGAGCGGUGAAAUGCGUAGAUAUCACUUGGAACGCCAAAGGUGAAGACAGUCUGCUGGGGAUUUGCUGACGCUGAGACACGAAAGCCAGGGGAGCGAACGGG
RNAcentral lists this ribosomal RNA (253 nucleotides) under uncultured prokaryote. RNAcentral describes it as "partial 16S ribosomal RNA". It matches the Rfam family "Bacterial small subunit ribosomal RNA", at positions 524 to 776 of the family's 1533-position model. The record is from RNAcentral.